RNAcentral lists this ribosomal RNA (252 nucleotides) under uncultured bacterium. Its description in RNAcentral is "partial 16S ribosomal RNA". It matches the Rfam family "Bacterial small subunit ribosomal RNA", at positions 525 to 776 of the family's 1533-position model. The record is from RNAcentral.
ACGGAGGGUGCAAGCGUUAUCCGGAAUCACUGGGUUUAAAGGGUGCGUAGGCGGCUUAAUAAGUCAGAGGUGAAAUCUUCCCGCUUAACGGGAAACCUGCCUUUGAUACUGUUGAGCUUGAAUUAGGUUGAGGUCGGCGGAAUGUGGCAUGUAGCGGUGAAAUGCAUAGAUAUGCCAUAGAACACCAAUUGCGAAGGCAGCUGACUAGGCCUUAAUUGACGCUGAGGCACGAAAGCGUGGGGAGCGAACAGG